UGACCUGAGAUCAGUCGUGAUUACCCACUGACAUUAAGCAUAUCACUAAGCGGAGGAAAAGAAACUAACCAGGAUUCCCCUAGUAACGGCGAGUGAAGAGGGAUUAGCUCAGCACCGAAGCCUGCGGUAGGUUAACUGCUAGGAAAUGUGAUAUUUGGGUCGACUCGCGGGAUUUGCACUCCAAUCGAUGUCCAGCACUGGGUAUGGUUUGCUGGAUUUGGCCCAGAGAGGGUGAAAGGCCCGUGCGAGUGGAGGUUCGGAAAUGUGAGACAAUUCACUACGUCGACCUUCGAGUCGGGUUGUUUGAGAAUGCAGCCCAAAGUGGGUAGUAAAAUCCAUCCAAGGCUUAAUCCAAGCAUGAGUCCGAUAGCAAACAAGGUCCGUGAGGGAAAGUGUAAAGUUUUUGAAGAGGGAGAGAGAUUUAACAGUACGUGAAACCGCAUAUAAGUAAACGGGUUGCCUCAAGCUGCAAACCUAGAGGAUUCAGUUGGUCGGGGUGUAUGCACACCUGGCACGUCUUUCGGACGAGCAGUUCACUACGAAAAGGUGGGCCUGGCAUUCCCUCGGGAGGGAGAGGAUCAGCGUUCUGGGAAAUUACCGGAGCCAAAUCGGGUUUGGUCGGUGGCUCCUCUGGGGUCGUUGGCUGAGCUUCGAUCAUAACAGGCGAAUUCAGUGAGUGGCAUGUGUAUGCAUUUGCAUGCGCGCUUGUUAUCGAGCACUAGUCGUCAAAGGGUCUGUCUGUCAGUUGUGUUUUUGCAGUCAAGGCGGAUGUCCUGGUGGACUACUAGGGUUGUCGUUCUCUAGGUGCUGGCUCGUGCGCACACUCCAUGUGGGCGUGGGGUGUUGCUGUAGGCCGCCAAUAGCUGGGUCUGAUCGUUGUGUUGCCUGCGCAAAGCGGGUCCGGCGGUAGUCUGGUGUUGGAUGGCCUUACCUGGAAUGCUUCCUGUAUGAGUCGGCAUGGGCCAAACAGUCUGUGGUGUUGUGAAAGACGAGCAACGCGACCCGUCUUGAAACACGGACCAAGGAGUUUAUCAUGCACGCGAGUCAGUGUGUCCCACGAAACCCCAAGGCACAGUGAAAGGGAAGUCUUGACUUGUUCUCCGGAUGUGGUGAGAUGCCACUGUUUUUCGCACCCUGCCUUGCGCCUACAGCACCAGACACAAGAGCAGUGGUCGCAUCACUGGCCCGUCUCAUGAUGUGGUCGUUGGAAAUGCGCGGUAACUCAACCGAACACGUAGACAUCGGCUGGAGUUCCGGGAAGAGUUUUCUUUUCUUUGUAAAGAGUGCUCACCACUCCUGGAAUCGGGUUGUCCGGAUAUAGGGGUAUCACCUGCGUACAGCACCACCCCUCUUGUGGUGUCCAGAACACUCUGGUCGCUCCUUGAAAAUCCGAGGAAGGCAUUAUGAUUUUCGUGGCAGGCCGUACCCAUAUCUGCAUCAGGUCUCCAUGGUGAAGAGCCUCGGGCAAUAUAAUAAUGUAGGUAAGGGAAGUCGGCAUAUGUGAUCCGUAACCUCGAAACAAUGAUAAUUGUUUAGUGUACAACGAAUAAAAUCAUCGUUCCUCUUACUUGUUGAUCGUUUUGGUCCACCCUGCUUUCUUCUAGGCACGGUUCGAUCAUUAAUAAUGCGUGACAGAGAGACCUUACUGAUAUCUAAAAUACUAGCUAAUGACUCACGUGGCACUCCUUCUGCUGCAAGUUUCCGUAUUUGUUCAUAGUCAACUGCAGAUAGCUAUUGU
Molecule: non-coding RNA, 1738 nt
Filed under: Schistocephalus solidus
Lineage: Eukaryota; Metazoa; Platyhelminthes; Cestoda; Diphyllobothriidea; Diphyllobothriidae
Description: Eukaryotic large subunit ribosomal RNA
Rfam family: Eukaryotic large subunit ribosomal RNA
Source: Rfam by way of RNAcentral